AGAGUUUGAUCAUGGCUCAGAACGAACGCUGGCGGCGUGCCUAACACAUGCAAGUCGAACGAGAAAGGGGCUUCGGCCCUGAGUAAAGUGGCGCACGGGUGAGUAACGCGUGGGUAAUCUGCCCUUGGGCGGGGGAUAACAUUCCGAAAAGGAGUGCUAAUACCGCAUAAGACCACGGUCCUGAGGGAGCGUGGGAAAAGAUGGGGAUCUUCGGACCUGUCACCUGAGGAUGAGCCCGCGUACCAUUAGGUAGUUGGUGAGGUAACGGCUCACCAAGCCGAAGAUGGUUAGCUGGUCUGAGAGGAUGAUCAGCCACACUGGGACUGAGACACGGCCCAGACUCCUACGGGAGGCAGCAGUGGGGAAUAUUGCGCAAUGGGGGCAACCCUGACGCAGCAACGCCGCGUGUGUGAUGAAGGCCUUCGGGUCGUAAAGCACUGUCGAGUAGAACGAGCCGCCGAGGGUGAAUAUCCUUCGGCCCGACGGUACUACUUGAGGAAGCACCGGCUAACUCCGUGCCAGCAGCCGCGGUAAUACGGAGGGUGCAAGCGUUGUUCGGAAUUAUUGGGCGUAAAGCGCGUGUAGGCGGACUGCUAAGUCUGGUGUGAAAUCCCUCGGCUCAACUGAGGACGUGCAUUGGAUACUGGCAGCUUGAAUCCUGGAGAGGAGCGGAAUUCCCAGUGUAGAGGUGAAAUUCGUAGAUAUUGGGAGGAACACCAGUGGCGAAGGCGGCUACCUGGACAGUGAUUGACGCUGAGACGCGAAAGCACGGGUAGCAAACAGGAUUAGAUACCCUAGUAGUCC
RNAcentral lists this ribosomal RNA (804 nucleotides) under uncultured bacterium. Its description in RNAcentral is "bacterial SSU rRNA". It matches the Rfam family "Bacterial small subunit ribosomal RNA", at positions 8 to 796 of the family's 1533-position model. The record is from RNAcentral.